This 497-nucleotide ribosomal RNA is filed under the name uncultured bacterium. RNAcentral describes it as "partial 16S ribosomal RNA". It matches the Rfam family "Bacterial small subunit ribosomal RNA", at positions 28 to 507 of the family's 1533-position model. The record is from RNAcentral.
GAUGAACGCUGGCGGCGUGCCUAAUACAUGCAAGUCGAGCGAACAGACGAGGAGCUUGCUCCUUUGACGUUAGCGGCGGACGGGUGAGUAACACGUGGGUAACCUACCUAUAAGACUGGGAUAACUUCGGGAAACCGGAGCUAAUACCGGAUAAUAUUUCGAACCGCAUGGUUCGAUAGUGAAAGAUGGCUUUGCUAUCACUUAUAGAUGGACCUGCGCCGUAUUAGCUAGUUGGUAAGGUAACGGCUUACCAAGGCAAGGAUACGUAGCCGACCUGAGAGGGGGAUAGGCCACACGGGAACUGGGACACGGUCCAGGCUCCUACGGGAGGCAGCAGUAGGGAAUCUUCCGCAAUGGGGGAAAGCCUGACGGAGCAACGCCGCGUGAGUGAUGAAGGUCUUCGGAUCGUAAAACUCUGUUAUUAGGGAAGAACAAACGUGUAAGUAACUGUGCACGUCUUGACGGUACCUAAUCAGAAAGCCACGGCUAACUACGUG